This 207-nucleotide ribosomal RNA is filed under the name uncultured bacterium. Its description in RNAcentral is "partial 16S ribosomal RNA". It matches the Rfam family "Bacterial small subunit ribosomal RNA", at positions 568 to 774 of the family's 1533-position model. The record is from RNAcentral.
CUCGUAGGCGGUUCGUCGCGUCCGGUGUGAAAGUCCAUCGCUUAACGGUGGAUCCGCGCCGGGUACGGGCGGGCUUGAGUGCGGUAGGGGAGACUGGAAUUCCCGGUGUAACGGUGGAAUGUGUAGAUAUCAGGAGGAACACCGGUGGCGAAGGCGGGUCUCUGGGCCGUUACUGACGCUGAGGAGCGAAAGCGUGGAGAGCGAACA